This 311-nucleotide long non-coding RNA is filed under the name Nicotiana benthamiana. Its description in RNAcentral is "long non-coding RNA (NBEN_LNC001802)". Lineage: Eukaryota; Viridiplantae; Streptophyta; Magnoliopsida; Solanales; Solanaceae. The record is from RNAcentral.
AAAGUAAACAAGAGAGCGGGAGGUACCAACUCCCGGUGGAAAAACCUGAAAGUGUGCUUUGACGCGCCCAAGUUUUCCUGAAGCUUAGCAGAACGUGCAGCUCUAUUGCGUUCUGCCGCGAGUCUGAACGAGAGUUGCCGGAGAUCCUCACCGGUGAAAUAGACACCUGUCCAAGAAAACAGAACACACCCACAAAAGCAGAGGGGAGACUAAAAAGGAAAAGUGCAGGGGUUGCCAGAAAAAUUUCCGGCGGAAACAAAAGUUCCAGACCUCUGAACAGCACCGAGAUCUGCUGUGGGUAAGCAGUGAGA